RNAcentral lists this non-coding RNA (18 nucleotides) under Arabidopsis thaliana (thale cress). The record is from RNAcentral. Lineage: Eukaryota; Viridiplantae; Streptophyta; Magnoliopsida; Brassicales; Brassicaceae.
GAUGAUGUGUCACUCAUA